This 466-nucleotide ribosomal RNA is filed under the name uncultured bacterium. RNAcentral describes it as "partial 16S ribosomal RNA". It matches the Rfam family "Bacterial small subunit ribosomal RNA", at positions 28 to 507 of the family's 1533-position model. The record is from RNAcentral.
GACGAACGCUGGCGGCGCGCCUAACACAUGCAAGUCGAAGGAGCGAGAGGGAGCUGGCUUUCUUGACCGAGUGGCGAACGGGUGAGUAACGCGUGAGGAACCUGCCUAAAAGAGGGGGACAACAGUUGGAAAGGACUGCUAAUACCGCAUAAGCCCACGCUGCCGAUUGGCACAGAGGGAAAAGGGGCAAUCCGCUUUGAGAUGGCCUCGCUUCCGAUUAGCUAGUUGGUGAGGUAACGGCCCACCAUGGCGACGAUCGGUAGCCGGACUGAGGGGUUGAACGGUCACGUUGGGACUGAGACCCGGCCCAGACUCCUACGGGAGGCAGCAGUGGGGAAUAUUGCACAAUGGGGGAAACCCGGAUGCAGCGACGCCGCGUGGAGGAAGAAGGUCUUCGGAUUGUAAACUCCUGUUGUUGGGGAAGAUAAUGACGGUACCCAACAAGGAAGUGACGGCUAACUACGUG